Molecule: non-coding RNA, 99 nt
Organism: Gemmatimonadetes bacterium 13_1_40CM_3_69_22
Lineage: Bacteria; Pseudomonadati; Gemmatimonadota
Source: Rfam
GCCCCAGGUCCGUAGGUCGUCCGCUCGUGAACCGCGUCAGGCCCCCGCAGGGAGCAGCGCUAAACGGGUCGAGACUUCGCUGCGUCAACCUGGGGCAUU